RNAcentral lists this ribosomal RNA (392 nucleotides) under uncultured bacterium. RNAcentral's name for it is "partial 16S ribosomal RNA". It matches the Rfam family "Bacterial small subunit ribosomal RNA", at positions 523 to 918 of the family's 1533-position model. The record is from RNAcentral.
AUACGGAGGAUCCGAGCGUUAUCCGGAUUUAUUGGGUUUAAAGGGUGCGCAGGCGGCCAUUUAAGUCAGCGGUUAAAUCGUGGGGCUCAACCCCAUUCUGCCGUUGAUACUGGGUGGCUUGAUUGCGGUCGAGGUUUGCGGAAUUCGUUGUGUAGCGGUGAAAUGCAUAGAUAUGACGAAGAACACCGAUUGCGUAGGCAGCUGACCAGAUCGCAAAUGACGCUCAUGCACGAAAGUGCGGGGAUCGAACAGGAUUAGAUACCCUGGUAGUCCGCACAGUAAACGAUGAAUACUUGUUUUCGGCGAUAUAAUGUCGGAGGCAAAGCGAAAGCGAUAAGUAUUCCACCUGGGGAGUACGCCGGCAACGGUGAAACUCAAAUGAAUUGACGGGG